CGGCGCUUAGCUCGGCUGGAGGAGCGAGUGCCCUUACAAGGCGGAGGUCGCAGGUUCGAGCCCUGCAGCGCCCACAA
RNAcentral lists this transfer RNA (77 nucleotides) under Actinomycetota bacterium. RNAcentral's name for it is "Actinobacteria bacterium (soil metagenome) tRNA-Val". It matches the Rfam family "tRNA". From Rfam's summary of the family: Transfer RNA (tRNA) molecules are approximately 80 nucleotides in length. The record is from RNAcentral. Lineage: Bacteria; Bacillati; Actinomycetota.